This is a long non-coding RNA of Cottoperca gobio, 281 nucleotides long. RefSeq lists it as uncharacterized. The transcript is spliced from 3 exons. The record is from RefSeq and is a predicted model, not a curated record. NCBI's taxonomy places the organism in Eukaryota, Metazoa, Chordata, Actinopteri, Perciformes, Bovichtidae.
GGAGGCAGUUCUUGACGUACUGAUACGCAGCGUUGCUGUCAAAGUCCAUGUUUUCUUUCAGCUUCACUGCUGCCAUUCCAAUUCGUCCCUCGUGUCCUAAUCAGCCAAGGUCAACGCAGAAAGACACAUUAGCCUCCUCGACGCAGUCUAUCGUCAGCAAAUGAUCGGCCACCUCUGUGGUCGCCACGUUUUCUCCUUUCCACCUGUAAUAAUGACCAAACAAAGACAGACGGGUGGCGUCUCCCUUAGAGAGAGGGUGAGAAGCUCAGCCAUCAGGAGAG